GGCACAUCAUAGCACUAUACAAAUAUAUACAGGGUGAGUACAAAUUGCUAUGUGCUAAACCAGUGGUUCCCAAACUUUUUAGGUUCAAGGCGCCCUUAAUAUUUCAGUAUUUUUCCAAGGCAUCCCAAGUCAAAAUUUCUAGGUUGUAUAUAUGUUAGACAUGUGCAAUUCGAUUUGGACGAAUAUCGGACAUUCGGAUGCUUCCAAAUGUCUGAAGUACCGAAUUUCCAAAGUGCCGAACCGAAUUGCUGAAGUGCCAAAUUUCGGAAAUGCGAAGUGCUUAGGACUUCUGAAAAGUGGCAAAACGGGUAGGGGUAGGAUUGGGGUUGGGCUAAGAGUAGGGUUAGAGUUAGGGUGGGGUUAGGAGUAGGGUUUGGGUUAGGGUUGGGUAAGGAGUAGGGUUACUUUAGGGUUAGGGGUUGAGUUAGGAUACCCCUACCCCUAACCUAACCCUACCCUAACCCCACUCCUAACCCAACCCUAACCCUACUCCUAAUCCUAACCAUACUCCUCACCCAACACUAACCCUACUCUCACCCUACUCUUAACCCUAACCCUACUCCUAACCCAACCCUAACCCUACUCUUACCCUAACCCUACUCCUAACCCUACUCCUAACCCAACCCUAACCCUACUCCCAACCAAACCCUAACCCUACUCCUAACCCAACCCAAACCCUAACCCUACACUUACCCUUAGUCCCGAAUUUCGGAAGUACCAAACCGAACCGAAGUGCCAAAGUGUCGAAUUGCUGAAGUCCCAAAUUGCUGAAGUCCCAAAUUUCGGAAGUGUCGAACCAAACCAAAUUGCCGAAGUGCCGCAUUUCAGAAUGCCGAAUCAAAUUUUUUGCCCAUGCACAUCCCUAAUAUCUGUACAGCGCUGUCGCAUUUAUUGUCGCUCAAGUGUAAUGUACAGUGUUGGUGCUUAACGAGGUGCUUGUAUACAUUUGUGUUUUAAUACAGGGAUGUGUUUGUAUGUGAUGUUUGUGUUUGAUUGCAGGGGUGAGCUUGUAUGUUGUGCUGGUGUUUCACUGUUUGGAUGCAUGUACAUACAUACAUACUUUCACAGAUAUUCAUGCACAUUAACACACAGAUGCAUAUAAAUACACCGACACAUACACACAAAUUCAUAUAGACACCGACACAUACAGAUACACACCGACAGUUACACACACAUACACCCUGUUCCAAAUUAUUAUGCAAAUUAUAUUUUUCUCAUUUACCUUAAUAAUUGAUGUAAAUAACAGUCAGCAUAUUUCUCAUGUUAUCAACUAUUAAGAGUACAAUUUAAAUUUUAUUGAACAAACCUCCUAAUGAUAACAGUAUUUUUUUUAAAACAUAAAAACUUACACUGUUCCAAAUUAUUAUGCACAGUAAAUUUCAAAACACUUUAUAGGUUGUAAAGAACUGAAAAUUGUCAUUUGUUGUGUUUGCAGCAUAUUUACUGAAAUCAAAAGCUAUUUCAAUCAAACUUAUAACAACAUUUUAACUUUUUAAACAUUUU
Molecule: non-coding RNA, 1503 nt
Organism: Pelobates cultripes (western spadefoot toad)
Lineage: Eukaryota; Metazoa; Chordata; Amphibia; Anura; Pelobatidae
Source: the annotation of a GenBank genome assembly